This 253-nucleotide ribosomal RNA is filed under the name uncultured bacterium. RNAcentral's name for it is "partial 16S ribosomal RNA". It matches the Rfam family "Bacterial small subunit ribosomal RNA", at positions 524 to 776 of the family's 1533-position model. The record is from RNAcentral.
GACAGAGGGUGCAAACGUUGUUCGGAAUUACUGGGCGUAAAGCGUGUGUAGGCUGCUACAUAAGUCGGAUGUGAAAGCCCCGGGCUCAACCCGGGAAGUGCACUCGAUACUGCGGUGCUCGAGUACUGGAGAGGAGAUUGGAAUUUACGGUGUAGCAGUGAAAUGCGUAGAUAUCGUAAGGAAGACCAGUGGCGAAGGCGAAUCUCUGGACAGUUACUGACACUGAGGCACGAAGGCCGGGGGAGCAAACGGG